RNAcentral lists this ribosomal RNA (460 nucleotides) under uncultured bacterium. RNAcentral's name for it is "partial 16S ribosomal RNA". It matches the Rfam family "Bacterial small subunit ribosomal RNA", at positions 338 to 795 of the family's 1533-position model. The record is from RNAcentral.
CCUACGGGUGGCUGCAGUGAGGAAUAUUGGUCAAUGGGCGCGAGCCUGAACCAGCCAAGUCGCGUGAGGGAGGACGGCCCUACGGGUUGUAAACCUCUUUUGCCGGGGAGCAACGGGCGUCACGUGUGGCUCCACUGAGAGUACCCGGAGAAAAAGCAUCGGCUAACUCCGUGCCAGCAGCCGCGGUAAUACGGAGGAUGCGAGCGUUAUCCGGAUUUAUUGGGUUUAAAGGGUGCGUAGGCGGUCCGUUAAGUCAGCGGUAAAAUUGCGGGGCUCAACCCCGUCGAGCCGUUGAAACUGGCAGACUUGAGUUGGCGAGAAGUACGCGGAAUGCGCGGUGUAGCGGUGAAAUGCAUAGAUAUCGCGCAGAACUCCGAUUGCGAAGGCAGCGUACCGGCGCCAGACUGACGCUGAGGCACGAAAGCGUGGGGAUCGAACAGGAUUAGAUACCCGAGUAGUC